Molecule: ribosomal RNA, 467 nt
Filed under: uncultured bacterium
Lineage: Bacteria
Description: partial 16S ribosomal RNA
Rfam family: Bacterial small subunit ribosomal RNA
Source: RNAcentral
GACGAACGCUGGCGGCGUGCUUAACACAUGCAAGUCGAACGGAAAGGCCCUGCUUUUGUGGGGUGCUCGAGUGGCGAACGGGUGAGUAACACGUGAGUAACCUGCCCUUGACUUUGGGAUAACUUCAGGAAACUGGGGCUAAUACCGGAUAGGAGCUCCUGCUGCAUGGUGGGGGUUGGAAAGUUUCGGCGGUUGGGGAUGGACUCGCGGCUUAUCAGCUUGUUAGUGGGGUAGUGGCUUACCAAGGCUUUGACGGGUAGCCGGCCUGAGAGGGUGACCGGCCACAUUGGGACUGAGAUACGCCCAGACUCCUACGGGAGGCAGCAGUGGGGAAUAUUGCACAAUGGGCGGAAGCCUGAUGCAGCAACGCCGCGUGCGGGAUGACGGCCUUCGGGUUGUAAACCGCUUUCGCCUGUGACGAAGCGUGAGUGACGGUAAUGGGUAAAGAAGCACCGGCUAACUACGUG